AUUGAACGCUGGCGGCAGGCCUAACACAUGCAAGUCGAGCGGAUUAAGGGAUCUUGCUCCUGGUUUCAGCGGCGGACGGGUGAGUAAUGCCUAGGAAUCUGCCUUGUAGUGGGGGAUAACGUCCGGAAACUGUCGCUAAUACCGCAUACGUCCUUAGGGGGAAAGUGUUAGAUCUUCGGACCUCACGCUAUCAUAUUAGCCUAGGUCGUAUUAUCUAGUUUGUGGGGUAAAGGCCUACCAAGGCGACGAUCCGUAACUGGUAUGAGAGGAUGAUCAGUCACCCUGGAAGUGAGAAAGGGUAGAGACUCCUACGGGAGGACGCAGUGGAGAAUAUUGGAGGAGGGGGGAAAGGCUGAUACAGCAAUGCCGGGUGUGUGAAGAAGGUCUUAGGAUUGUAAAGCGAUUUAAGUUGGGAGGAAGGAAAGUAAGUUAAUACCUUGCUGUUUUGACGUUACCAACAGAAUAAGCACCGGCUAACUUCGUG
Molecule: ribosomal RNA, 484 nt
Filed under: uncultured bacterium
Lineage: Bacteria
Description: partial 16S ribosomal RNA
Rfam family: Bacterial small subunit ribosomal RNA
Source: RNAcentral